UAAUACGGAGGGGGCUAGCGUUGUUCGGAAUUACUGGGCGUAAAGGGCGCGUAGGCGGAUUGUCAAGUCAGAGGUGAAAGCCCUGGGCUCAACCUGGGAACUGCCUUUGAAACUAACGGUCUAGAGUCCGAGAGAGGAUGGCGGAAUUCCCAGUGUAGAGGUGAAAUUCGUAGAUAUUGGGAAGAACACCAGUGGCGAAGGCGGCCAUCUGGCUCGGUACUGACGCUGAGGCGCGAAAGCGUGGGGAGCAAACAGGAUUAGAUACCCUGGUAGUCCACGCCGUAAACGAUGUGUGCUAGCCGUUGGGAAACCUAGUUUUUCAGUGGCGCAGCUAACGCAUUAAGCACACCGCCUGGGGAGUACGGUCGCAAGAUUA
This 376-nucleotide ribosomal RNA is filed under the name uncultured Alphaproteobacteria bacterium. RNAcentral describes it as "bacterial SSU rRNA". It matches the Rfam family "Bacterial small subunit ribosomal RNA", at positions 521 to 896 of the family's 1533-position model. Lineage: Bacteria; Pseudomonadati; Pseudomonadota; Alphaproteobacteria. The record is from RNAcentral.